UUGAAGUGACGUGCUUGCACUGAUUUUAACAAUGAAGCGAGUGGCGAACUGGUGAGUAACACGUGGGAAAUCUGCCCAGAAGCAGGGGAUAACACUUGGAAACAGUGUGCUAAUACCGUAUAACAACAAAAUCCGCAUGGAUUUUGUUUGAAAGGUGGCUUCGGCUAUCACUUCUGGAUGAUCCCGCGGCGUAUUAGUUAGUUGGUGAGGUAAAGGCCCACCAAGACGAUGAUACGUAGCCGACCUGAGAGGGUAAUCGGCACAUUGGGACUGAGACACGGCCAAACUCCUACGGGAGUGCAGCAGUAGGGAAAUCUUCCACAAUGGACGGAAGUCUGAUGGAGCAAUGCCGCGUGAGUGAAGAAGGGUUUCAGGGCUCGUAAAAACUCUGUUUGUUAACAGAAGAACACCUUUUGAGAGUAACUGUUCAAGGGUUGACGGUAUUUAACCAGAAAGCCACGGCUAACUACGUGCCAGUCCAGGCCGCAGGUAAUACGUACGAGUGGCAAGCGUUGUCCGGAUUUAUUUGGGCGUAAAUGCGAGCGCAGGCGGUAAUNAAGUCUGAUGUUGACAGCCUUCGGCUUAACCGGAGAAGUGCAUCGGAAACUUGGGGGACUUGAAGUGCAAGAAAGAGGACAGUGGAACUACCAUGUGUAGCGGGUGGAAUGACGUAGAUAUAUGGAAGAACACACAGGUGGGA
RNAcentral lists this ribosomal RNA (700 nucleotides) under uncultured Lactobacillus sp. Its description in RNAcentral is "bacterial SSU rRNA". It matches the Rfam family "Bacterial small subunit ribosomal RNA", at positions 62 to 719 of the family's 1533-position model. The record is from RNAcentral. Lineage: Bacteria; Bacillati; Bacillota; Bacilli; Lactobacillales; Lactobacillaceae.